AGCUAACGCGUUAAAUCGACCGCCUGGGGAGUACGGCCGCAAGGUUAAAACUCAAAUGAAUUGACGGGGGCCCGCACAAGCGGUGGAGCAUGUGGUUUAAUUCGAUGCAACGCGAAGAACCUUACCUGGUCUUGACAUCCACAGAACUUUCCAGAGAUGGAUUGGUGCCUUCGGGAACUGUGAGACAGGUGCUGCAUGGCUGUCGUCAGCUCGUGUUGUGAAAUGUUGGGUUAAGUCCCGCAACGAGCGCAACCCUUAUCCUUUGUUGCCAGCGGUCCGGCCGGGAACUCAAAGGAGACUGCCAGUGAUAAACUGGAGGAAGGUGGGGAUGACGUCAAGUCAUCAUGGCCCUUACGACCAGGGCUACACACGUGCUACAAUGGCAUAUACAAAGAGAAGCGACCUCGCGAGAGCAAGCGGACCUCAUAAAGUAUGUCGUAGUCCGGAUUGGAGUCUGCAACUCGACUCCAUGAAGUCGGAAUCGCUAGUAAUCGUAGAUCAGAAUGCUACGGUGAAUACGUUCCCGGGCCUUGUACACACCGCCCGUCACACCAUGGGAGUGGGUUGCAAAAGAAGUAGGUAGCUUAACCUUCGGGAGGGCGCUUACCACUUUGUGAUUCAUGACUGGGGUGAAGUCGUAACAAGGUAACCGUAGGGGAACCUGCGGUUGGAUCACCUCCUUA
This 683-nucleotide ribosomal RNA is filed under the name Klebsiella pneumoniae. RNAcentral describes it as "bacterial SSU rRNA". It matches the Rfam family "Bacterial small subunit ribosomal RNA", at positions 850 to 1533 of the family's 1533-position model. The record is from RNAcentral. Lineage: Bacteria; Pseudomonadati; Pseudomonadota; Gammaproteobacteria; Enterobacterales; Enterobacteriaceae.